AGAUUGAACGCUGGCGGCAGGCCUAACACAUGCAAGUCGAGCGGUAGAGAGGUGCUUGCACCUCUUGAGAGCGGCGGACGGGUGAGUAAUGCCUAGGAAUCUGCCUAGUGGGUGGGGGAUAACGUUCGGAAACGGCGCUAAUACCGCAUACGUCCUACGGGAGAAAGGCGGGGGACCUUCGGGCCUCGCGCCAUUAGAUGAGCCUAGGUCGGAUUAGCUAGUUGGUGAGGUAAUGGCUCACCGAAGGCGACGAUCCGUAACUGGUCUGAGAGGAUGAUCAGUCACACUGGAACUGAGACGACCGGUCCAGACCUCCGUACGGGAGGCAGCAGGUGGGUAAUAGUUAGGAACAAGUGGGACGAAACGCUAGAUCCAGCCAUCGCCGCGUGUGUAGAAGGUAAGGUCGUUACGGUAUUAGG
This 419-nucleotide ribosomal RNA is filed under the name uncultured soil bacterium. RNAcentral describes it as "bacterial SSU rRNA". It matches the Rfam family "Bacterial small subunit ribosomal RNA", at positions 26 to 442 of the family's 1533-position model. The record is from RNAcentral.